Molecule: ribosomal RNA, 927 nt
Filed under: Anaerococcus vaginalis ATCC 51170
Lineage: Bacteria; Bacillati; Bacillota; Tissierellia; Tissierellales; Peptoniphilaceae
Description: partial 16S ribosomal RNA
Source: RNAcentral
AGGGCUAUAUUAUAUAGGAAAAGGAAACUUCGACAAAGCAAUACAAAUUCUAACAAGGCUUUUAUCAAAAACAAAAAGAGCAGACGCUUAUUAUUAUUUAGGAGUGGCCUAUCAAAAUAUAGGACAAUACGAAAAUUCCAUCCUAGCCUUUGAAAAUGCUCUAGAAAAAGGUGGAGAAUUUAGAGAGCUUUAUAACGAUUACUCAAUAAGCUUAUACGCAACAGAAAAACCAAUAGAUGCAAUAGAAAUAAUAAAUCAAGGAUUAAAAAAAUACCCAGAAGAUCCUAGAAUGAUCUACAAUAGGUUGCAAAUAAAUUUAUCACUAAAUAAUAUCAACAAAGCCAAAGAAGAUAUAGAAAAUUUAGAAAGCUAUGACGACCUUAGCGACGAAUUAUCAACAAACUUACAAAUAAUUAAAGAACAAUAUAAAAUAAAUUAAUCUCAAAUUAAAUUUUGAGAUUUUUUUUAUUGCAGUUGAAUAAAAAUAGAAAAAAAGUAUGUUUAUAAUGAAUAACGUUUACUUAAAUAGGAGGAAAUUAUGAAAAUAAUAGAAACAAAAAAUGCACCAGGUGCAGUAGGAGCAUAUUCACAAGGAAUAGUAUCAAACGGAUUUGUAUAUUCAUCAGGACAACUACCAUUAGUUCCAGAAACAGGUGAAUUAAUUUCAGAUGACGUUAAAAAAGCAACAAGACAAUCAUUAGAAAAUGUAAAAGCUAUCGUAGAAGCAGGUGGCUCAUCAGUAGAAAAAAUAGUAAAAGUAAAUAUUUUCUUAGAUGACGUAAACGACUUUGCAGCAGUAAACGAAGCUUAUGCAGAAUUUUUUGGAGAUCACAAACCAGCAAGAAGCUGCGUAGAAGUUGGAAAACUUCCAAAAAAUGGAUUAUUAGAAAUCGAAGCAAUAGCAGAAAUCUAAUAAAUUAAACAAAU